This 408-nucleotide ribosomal RNA is filed under the name Triticum aestivum (bread wheat). RNAcentral's name for it is "partial small subunit ribosomal RNA". Lineage: Eukaryota; Viridiplantae; Streptophyta; Magnoliopsida; Poales; Poaceae. The record is from RNAcentral.
AUGAACGCACCCCUUGGCUGCAAUCAAGCUUCUCGCCGACAGUGUGUUGCUAAGCUGGCUCUGUCUCGUGGCCUGAAGUCACUAGUUGAAUCAAUUAGCACUUUCCCUGGAGCCGAGGAGCGUAGGCGUGGACAACGAGGAAGAGAGCAGCAGGGACGGUGCUCCGGUGCUUCCGCGAUAGAGCGAGCAGGAAGAGUUGCAGCGGCGGCGGCGGCGACGACGACGACGGCCGACAGGCGAGCUUGGGCGCCGGCGAAUGCAGAAUGGAAUUGGGGAUUUGUUAAACUGAGCGAGCAGGAUGAGUCGGGGGCCGAAACAGGAUUCAGCAUUGCUUUAAGAUUCGUUUGUCCAGGUGUCAGCCGAUGGAGAGGGUCUCACGUCCGGGGGCGUACGACCAGGGUCGUAUAA